RNAcentral lists this ribosomal RNA (254 nucleotides) under uncultured bacterium. RNAcentral describes it as "partial 16S ribosomal RNA". It matches the Rfam family "Bacterial small subunit ribosomal RNA", at positions 57 to 305 of the family's 1533-position model. The record is from RNAcentral.
GCAAGUCGAACGGUAGCAGGAUGUGCUUGCACAUCGCUGACGAGUGGCGGACGGGUGAGUAAUGCUUGGGAACUUGCCUUUGCGAGGGGGAUAACAGUUGGAAACGACUGCUAAUACCGCAUAAUGUGCUCUUGAAAAAGUGUACCAAACGGGGCUUAGGCUCCGGCGCAGAGAGAGGCCCAAGUGAGAUUAGCUAGUUGGUGGGGUAAAGGCUCACCAAGGCGACGAUCUCUAGCUGUUCUGAGAGGAAGAUC